Molecule: ribosomal RNA, 710 nt
Filed under: uncultured Alphaproteobacteria bacterium
Lineage: Bacteria; Pseudomonadati; Pseudomonadota; Alphaproteobacteria
Description: bacterial SSU rRNA
Rfam family: Bacterial small subunit ribosomal RNA
Source: RNAcentral
UGGCUCAGAACGAACGCUGGCGGCAUGCCUAACACAUGCAAGUCGAACGAACCCUUCGGGGUUAGUGGCGCACGGGUGCGUAACGCGUGGGAAUCUGCCCUUUGCUUCGGAAUAACAGUUAGAAAUGACUGCUAAUACCGGAUGAUGUCUUCGGACCAAAGAUUUAUCGGCAAAGGAUGAGCCCGCGUAGGAUUAGGUAGUUGGUGGGGUAAAGGCCUACCAAGCCGACGAUCCUUAGCUGGUCUGAGAGGAUGAUCAGCCACACUGGGACUGAGACACGGCCCAGACUCCUACGGGAGGCAGCAGUGGGGAAUAUUGGACAAUGGGCGAAAGCCUGAUCCGGCAAUGCCGCGUGAGUGAUGAAGGCCUUAGGGUCGUAAGGCUCUUUUACCCGGGAUGAUAAUGACAGUACCGGGAGAAUAAGCCCCGGCUAACUCCGUGCCAGCAGCCGCGGUAAUACGGAGGGGGCUAGCGUUGUUCGGAAUUACUGGGCGUAAAGCGUACGUAGGCGGUUAUUCAAGUCAGAGGUGAAAGCCCGGGGCUCAACCCCGGAACGGCCUUUGAAACUAGGUAGCUAGAGUCUUGGAGAGGUCAGUGGAAUUCCGAGUGUAGAGGUGAAAUUCGUAGAUAUUCGGAAGAACACCAGUGGCGAAGGCGACUGACUGGACAAGUACUGACGCUGAGGUACGAAAGCGUGGGGAGCAAACAGG